Cephalotus follicularis is the source of this 119-nucleotide ribosomal RNA. Lineage: Eukaryota; Viridiplantae; Streptophyta; Magnoliopsida; Oxalidales; Cephalotaceae. The record is from Rfam.
GACUGCAAUCAUACCAUAACUAAUGCACCGGAUCCUAUCAGAACUCCACAGUUAAGCGUGCUUGGGUGAGAGUAAUACUGCGAUGGGUGACCUCCUGGGAAGUUCUCGUGUUUCACCCC